UCCCCGGUGGCGCAGACGGCAAAGCGUCUGCCUGCAAUGCAGGAGACCCGGGUUCGACCCCUGGGUUGGGAA
This 72-nucleotide transfer RNA is filed under the name Ovis aries (sheep). It matches the Rfam family "tRNA". From Rfam's summary of the family: Transfer RNA (tRNA) molecules are approximately 80 nucleotides in length. Their secondary structure includes four short double-helical elements and three loops (D, anti-codon, and T loops). Lineage: Eukaryota; Metazoa; Chordata; Mammalia; Artiodactyla; Bovidae. The record is from Rfam by way of RNAcentral.